UCUUCCCUGCGGUGCCCGCGCAAAGGCCCUUAGUUCCUUGAACCGAUGCGCAAUGCGCAAGGUUGCGGGCUCGCACCGUGGUGCGAUCGGCACGCGUUUGCUGAACCUAAGCGGUGCGCGAAGCGACCACCCUGAACCGAUGGUUCAGGACAUCGGCCGGGCGGCAUGCGCGGGGAACCC
Molecule: non-coding RNA, 180 nt
Filed under: Burkholderiales bacterium
Lineage: Bacteria; Pseudomonadati; Pseudomonadota; Betaproteobacteria; Burkholderiales
Also listed under: 1 other name
Description: 6S RNA
Rfam family: 6S / SsrS RNA
About the family: E. coli 6S RNA was the first non coding RNA to be sequenced, but its function was unknown until recently.
Source: RNAcentral